UACGUAGGGUGCAAGCGUUAAUCGGAAUUACUGGGCGUAAAGCGUGCGCAGGCGGUUUUGUAAGUCUGUCGUGAAAUCCCCGGGCUCAACCUGGGAAUUGCGAUGGAGACUGCAAGGCUAGAAUCUGGCAGAGGGGGGUAGAAUUCCACGUGUAGCAGUGAAAUGCGUAGAUAUCUGGAGGAAUACCGGUGGCGAAGGCGGCAUCCUGGACCGGUACUGACGCUGAGGUGCGAAAGCGUGGGGAGCAAACAGG
This 253-nucleotide ribosomal RNA is filed under the name uncultured bacterium. RNAcentral describes it as "partial 16S ribosomal RNA". It matches the Rfam family "Bacterial small subunit ribosomal RNA", at positions 524 to 776 of the family's 1533-position model. The record is from RNAcentral.